UUGGAGGGCAAGUCUGGUGCCAGCAGCCGCGGUAAUUCCAGCUCCAAUAGCGUAUAUUAAAGUUGUUGCAGUUAAAAAGCUCGUAGUUGAAUUUCGGGGUUAGUAGGUUGGUCAUGCCUCUGGUAUGUACUGGUCUCACUGAUUCCUCCUUCCUGAUGAGCCGUAAUGCCAUUAAUUUGGUGUUGCGGGGAAUUUGGACUGUUACUUUGAAAAAAUUAGAGUGUUUAAAGCAAGCUAACGCUUGAAUACACUAGCAUGGAAUAAUGAAAUAGGACGUUCGAUCCUAUUUUGUUGGUUUCUAGGAUUGACGUAAUGAUUAAUAGGGAUAGUUGGGGGCAUUAGUAUUCAAUUGUCAGAGGUGAAAUUCUUGGAUUUAUUGAAGACUAACUACUGCGAAAGCAUUUGCCAAGGAUGUUUUCAUUAAUCAAGAACGAAAGUUAGGGGAUCGAAGACGAUCAGAUACCGUCGUAGUCUUAACCAUAAACUAUGCCGACUAGGGAUCGGAUGAUGUUAAUUUUUUAAUGACUCAUUCGGCGCCUUACGGGAAAC
This 549-nucleotide ribosomal RNA is filed under the name uncultured Glomeromycotina. RNAcentral describes it as "SSU rRNA". It matches the Rfam family "Eukaryotic small subunit ribosomal RNA", at positions 548 to 1098 of the family's 1831-position model. Lineage: Eukaryota; Fungi; Glomeromycota. The record is from RNAcentral.